Acanthosepion pharaonis is the source of this 114-nucleotide non-coding RNA. Lineage: Eukaryota; Metazoa; Mollusca; Cephalopoda; Sepiida; Sepiidae. The record is from the annotation of a GenBank genome assembly.
UUACGGCCAUAUCACGUUGAAACAUCGGUUCCCGUAUGAUCACCAAAGUCAAGCAACGUCGAGCCUGAUCAGAAUCAAGAUGAGAGACCGCUUGGGAAUACCUUCUACUGUAAG